UGCUUCUUCUUGAGAGCGGCGGACGGGUGAGUAAUGCCUAGGAAUCUGCCUGGUAGUGGGGGAUAACGUCCGGAAACGGACGCUAAUACCGCAUACGUCCUACGGGAGAAAGCAGGGGACCUUCGGGCCUUGCGCUAUCAGAUGAGCCUAGGUCGGAUUAGCUAGUUGGUGGGGUAAUGGCUCACCAAGGCGACGAUCCGUAACUGGUCUGAGAGGAUGAUCAGUCACACUGGAACUGAGACACGGUCCAGACUCCUACGGGAGGCAGCAGUGGGGAAUAUUGGACAAUGGGCGAAAGCCUGAUCCAGCCAUGCCGCGUGUGUGAAGAAGGUCUUCGGAUUGUAAAGCACUUUAAGUUGGGAGGAAGGGCAGUAAAUUAAUACUUUGCUGUUUUGACGUUACCGACAGAAUAAGCACCGGCUAACUCUGUGCCAGCAGCCGCGGUAAUACAGAGGGUGCAAGCGUUAAUCGGAAUUACUGGGCGUAAAGCGCGCGUAGGUGGUUCGUUAAGUUGGAUGUGAAAUCCCCGGGCUCAACCUGGGAACUGCAUUCAAAACUGACGAGCUAGAGUAUGGUAGAGGGUGGUGGAAUUUCCUGUUGUA
Molecule: ribosomal RNA, 602 nt
Filed under: uncultured bacterium
Lineage: Bacteria
Description: bacterial SSU rRNA
Rfam family: Bacterial small subunit ribosomal RNA
Source: RNAcentral